UCGCUGCUGUGAGGGGUGGAGCCUAUGCAGUCCGAGGUUUUAGUUGGUGAGACUCUAGGGUAGGCUUGGCUUCUCGGCCUCAGUGCUCAAGUAAGCAAACAGGAUUUGAAUUUGAAAACACAGAGCCUGGGCCCGGCGGAAGGUACCCCCAGCGGAUUCCGACCUACGGAAGCCCGGGAGGACCAAGCUUCCGGAGGCCGCCGAAUGUGUGCCGGGCAGGGGGUGGGAGGCUGUGCGGUGCCUCCUGGUUCCCUUUGAUCUCGGCGGACGGAGCCUCCCCUGGCUUCCCUGUGUCCAAACUUCGUAGUCUCCGGCUUCUUCCCUGCUCCAGGAAUCGCCCAGCUAGACUUGAAAGGGUCCAAGGCAGCCGCAGGAGGACCCUGUACCUGCUGCCGAGCCUCGGGCCUGGCCCCGUCCUCUGGGAUGGAUGGGCUUGUGCGGGAGAUAAACCUCUCCGCACCUGUCUCCUCUUUGGCACCGCGGGGGUUACACCUGCCCAUCCCUGGAUCUGUAGUGAGGUUUAAGUGGGAAGCACCCGCAUGUGGUGCAUGUUAACCCCCGUCUUCUGAGUCUGGAGAGCUAUAACCCCGCCAGGAACAUGGGAGACAAGUUUGUUCUGGCCCAGAAAACUGCGUUUUCCCCUCACUCUUGCUCACCGACCGAAAAAGACUGUGUCCCUAACUCACGAUUUUUCUCUGUCAGUAGUCCCGUGAAUUACGGUCCUUCCCCUGCCCUACGUGUCACGUGUUGAGAAGUUUGGGGCUCAAUCAUUGAAACGUUUACUGAGCACCUACUGUUCGCAGCAAACUGUUAAGACACCAUGCUCCACACUGGAGAUAAAUAUGAGUAAGACAUGACGUUGCACUGGAGGAGCCCCUGGACCAAAAGAUGACCCCAGAGACCUACCACCGCCUAGUUUAGGGCUUAUAAAUGUAGAGAAGAGUUUUGUUAAUUCAGUCAACAUUUUCCGAGCCGCUGUACCUGCUAAAGUGCCGAGGACAGAGACUCCUCAAGAACCAGGGUUCAUCAGCUCAAAGCCACCUGGGGUCUUUGCCCUCCCCUCUUCUCUCUCUUCAAACAGGGGGUUUGAAGCCUUGUCAACAGGAAGUGAAUCUCCGUAUCACAUACAGUCUUCUGUUGAUUGUCUCCUUGCAAAAAGUUUAUUUAUUUUUGAGAGAGAGAGAGACAGACAGAGUGCGAGCGGCAGAGGGGCAGCGAGAGAGGGAGACACGGAAUCCGAAGCAGGCUCCAGGCUCUGAGCCGACAGCACAGAGCCCGAUGCGGGGCCCGAACCCACAAACCGUGAGAUCAUGACAUGGGCUGAAGUCGGACACUCAACGGACUGAGCCAUCCAGGUGCCCCCAAAUCUCAUUUUUAGAAAAACGAAUGCCGUUUAAGUGGUUUUGUGUUACCUGCAGCCCUGACAGCAGACUGGAACAGCUGUGUUCUCCCAUCAGGCCACGUGCUGCCCCACUGGCCCAGUGAUGGUGAGCACGUCCAGGAAUGAGCUCAUGCACAAGGGAAGUCAGUGUGAGUCUGACAGCGCUGUGCCGCCCCAGCAGAAGGGAAGCCGCCCGAGAACCUCUAAGGACACAGGCAGUGUGCUGUGUUGUGGGAUAGGGCGUUGGGGAGAACGGUGCAGAAGCCUCCUCGGUGCCAGUGUGUCAGGCAGCAGGGAGGUGUUCGUCUUGAACAAAAGAUCGGGACAGGGAAAAGGACCGUUCCUCAAGCUAGAAAGAAAAGGGGCGGGGGCCGGGGGCCGGUACUGGCCUAGAGUGGGAACCCUGGGAGGUUGGCAUCCUAUGAAAGCGUCCCCAAGCCCUCCUGACAUUUCCCGAUGUGUAGCAGUUUGGGAGGCAUGUUUGGAUCCGUUGUUCUGUGCAAGAAAAAUCUCUUGUAUUAAUUGCUCACAUUUAAAUUGAGACUCAUUGGUGGGGGGCACCUGGGGGGCUCAGUCGGUUAGGUGUCCGACUUCGGCUCAGGUCGUGAUCUCGUGGUUUGUGGGUUCGAGCCCUGCGUCGGGCUCACCGCUGACAGCUCAGAGCCUGGAGCCUGUUUCAGAUUCUGUGUCUCCUUCUCUCUCUGCCCCUCCCCACUCAUUCUCUCUCUGUCUCUCGCUCGCUCGCUCUUUCUCAACAGUAAAUAAAUAGAAAAAAAAAUUUUUUUUUAAAUUGAGACCCACUAUCAGGCUUGCUCACCUAGAGAGCUGAGGUGCGUCCUGACUGACUACCUCCCAGAUGCCCAGAGUCCUCUAGGCUGUUAACACCAGUCUCGUCAUUGACGUGAUCUGAAUCAUGCAGUGCCUAGAAUUGGCCUGUUAAUGGUGUGCAUGUAAUCUAAUAAAACAAACUCAUUUUUUUUUCCUUUU
This is a long non-coding RNA of Acinonyx jubatus (cheetah), 2368 nucleotides long. RefSeq lists it as uncharacterized. The record is from RefSeq and is a predicted model, not a curated record. Lineage: Eukaryota; Metazoa; Chordata; Mammalia; Carnivora; Felidae. The transcript is spliced from 3 exons.